UACGUAGGUGGCAAGCGUUGUUCGGAAUUACUGGGCGUAAAGGGCGCGUAGGCGGCUUCGAUAGUUGGGCGUGAAAUGCCUGGGCUCAACCCAGGAAUUGCGCUCAAUACUGUGAGGCUCGAGUGUGGGAGAGGAUAGUGGAAUUCCCAGUGUAGAGGUGAAAUUCGUAGAUAUUGGGAAGAACACCAGCGGCGAAGGCGGCUAUCUGGACCACAACUGACGCUGAGGCGCGAAAGCGUGGGGAGCAAACAGG
RNAcentral lists this ribosomal RNA (253 nucleotides) under uncultured bacterium. RNAcentral's name for it is "partial 16S ribosomal RNA". It matches the Rfam family "Bacterial small subunit ribosomal RNA", at positions 524 to 776 of the family's 1533-position model. The record is from RNAcentral.